Long non-coding RNA from Drosophila mauritiana, 1725 nucleotides. RefSeq lists it as uncharacterized. The transcript has 4 exons. Lineage: Eukaryota; Metazoa; Arthropoda; Insecta; Diptera; Drosophilidae. The record is from RefSeq and is a predicted model, not a curated record.
AAAAAAUUUAAAUCUAAUUUCGCCGCAGCGCCGGCCGAGGACCAUAUUCAAAUAGCUAAUGGAUUUUACUUUGUCCUGACAAGUACAAGCCCAUUUAAUCAAUAAUUAACGUAAUCCAUCAAGUACAAAGUGUCAAAUGCACUCGCGAGCGACGACGAGCCCAUCAGGCCUAAAAGGAUUUUCAGCGAAAAGCGCAUCGCGUUAACAAAAAAUCAAGUUGUCGCAAAGAUACACGAAACAAAUCCGCGCCCGUCCUGUCACAUCUGCAUGUCGAAAAACCAGCAGACCCAUCAAAACCCGAGUUUACAGCCCAGCAACCCCUAAUUUUAACCCCUGCCUGUGCCGUCUGUCACUCUCGAGAUGUCCGGAGGGGGGAAUAGGCAUAAAGCAGCGGCGGCAGCAGGAGCAGCAGCUUAUCUAAGCCGAAAAGUCGACCCUGAUCAACCACUUGCAGACCGGACCCCUUACACGUAGAUAGCCCUUGUUGUCCUACUCCAAAUGGGUAUCAAACUACAAAUGUCCAUUUUUCAAUUUACCUGGCCCUUACGCACUUCGUACCACUCCCCCGCACUCACCCACUACCACUACUGCAUUGAAUCUGAAAUGGAAUGAUAUACGGACAGGGUACGGGAAGUGGACAACCAUACGGACAAACAAACGGACAAACACCCACCGAAUCGCCCUAUAAAUUAGCCCUCGGCCGUUGACCAGUUGGUUUUGCUGGCGGCCAAAAGACCGUGAAAUUUUCCCAAUAUGCUGCGUUUUAUUUGCGUUUCCCGCCCUCCACUCAUCCUCAUCCUCAUCGCACUGGCCAUAUCCCAUAUCCCAUAUAAACUGGGCAAUGGGAACUGUAAACUGGGCACUGCUCGCAUUUAAAUGGACAGCCCAUUUGACGUAUGAAUAAAUUAUGUUGUGCCCCUCGAGCCCGCACGAUCGAUUCUUCGGCUAGUUAACAUAAUUUUUAAAGACAAAGGCUACGCUCCACAUAUUAUCCAUGGCCAAAGAAAGGGGCAGUUGACAUCUCUGCGCUUUGGCGGGGGGAAAUUUAUAUGCCGCAAUUUGUCAAUUGUUGCAAUUUCUCUUUGUGUGCUCGCAUCUAUUUAUACAGUUUUAUUUCCCAAAGAAUAGCCCCUCAUAAAUAAUUGAAAUGUUUGUUUAUAUAUAUUCCUGGGGAGUGAGACUGCCGAUUAAGGAUUUGAACAUCAGUAACGUGACGAUAAGUGUCCCACUCGAUCAUCAACAAACCAGGCGUGUUAAAGCGACUUAUCCUUUCAUGUAUACAUUUCCCUGAAAUCGCCUGCCUUUAAGGGGAUGCGAACCCAGCCACUCAGCCAGCGAAAAGUUAUUGCAACCCGAUCCUGUGUCGCUGGAUGUAUAUAAAUACCAGAUACCAAAUACCAGUUCCAGUUUCCGCCGAUCAAGCCCAAGUUCAUUGGGAGUAGGGAGCGUGGAAUGGGCGAUGUCCGGCCUGACGUUUAUGAAAAGCCAUCGCAGCAUCAAAGCCAAUUAAGAUACUGGUGGACAUACAUACAAGCUCUAAAGGAAUACGCGGCUAAUUUCUGCGACAAAGCCGACAAACGAUCAAAUUCGAGCUGGAGUUGGAGAGUCUUGGGGCACAAGAAGAAGCGGCACUUUUGUCGCAAACACAGGCCGUAAAAUUAAGAACUCUGAUUGGUAACAAAUGUUUUUGUUCAUUCGAGUGAUAAAAACGUAGCGAACCGAAAA